RNAcentral lists this ribosomal RNA (1210 nucleotides) under Erwinia mallotivora. Its description in RNAcentral is "bacterial SSU rRNA". It matches the Rfam family "Bacterial small subunit ribosomal RNA", at positions 114 to 1336 of the family's 1533-position model. Lineage: Bacteria; Pseudomonadati; Pseudomonadota; Gammaproteobacteria; Enterobacterales; Erwiniaceae. The record is from RNAcentral.
UGUCUGGAACUGCCGAUGAGGGGAUACUCUGAACGGUAGCUAAUACCGCAUAACGUCUCGGACCAAAGUGGGGGACCUUCGGGCCUCACACCAUCGGAUGUGCCCAGAUGGGAUUAGCUAGUAGGUGGGGUAACGGCUCACCUAGGCGACGAUCCCUAGCUGGUCUGAGAGGAUGACCAGCCACACUGGAACUGAGACACGGUCCAGACUCCUACGGGAGGCAGCAGUGGGGAAUAUUGCACAAUGGGCGCAAGCCUGAUGCAGCCAUGCCGCGUGUAUGAAGAAGGCCUUCGGGUUGUAAAGUACUUUCAGUGGGGAGGAAGGCGAUGAAGUUAAUAACUUCGUCGAUUGACGUUACCCGCAGAAGAAGCACCGGCUAACUCCGUGCCAGCAGCCGCGGUAAUACGGAGGGUGCAAGCGUUAAUCGGAAUUACUGGGCGUAAAGCGCACGCAGGCGGUCUGUCAAGUCGGAUGUGAAAUCCCCGGGCUCAACCUGGGAACUGCAUUCGAAACUGGCAGGCUAGAGUCUUGUAGAGGGGGGUAGAAUUCCAGGUGUAGCGGUGAAAUGCGUAGAGAUCUGGAGGAAUACCGGUGGCGAAGGCGGCCCCCUGGACGAAGACUGACGCUCAGGUGCGAAAGCGUGGGCAAGCAGGAUUAGAUACCCUGGUAGUCCACGCCGUAAACGAUGUCGACUUGGAGGCUGUUCCCUUGAGGCGUGGCUUCCGGAGCUAACGCGUUAAGUCGACCGCCUGGGGAGUACGGCCGCAAGGUUAAAACUCAAAUGAAUUACGGGGGCCCGCACAAGCGGUGGAGCAUGUGGUUUAAUUCGAUGCAACGCGAAGAACCUUACCUGGCCUUGACAUCCACGGAAUUUGGCAGAGAUGCCUAUGUGCCUUCGGGAACCGUGAGACAGGUGCUGCAUGGCUGUCGUCAGCUCGUGUUGUGAAAUGUUGGGUUAAGUCCCGCAACGAGCGCAACCCUUAUCCUUUGUUGCCAGCGUAAUGGUGGGAACUCAAAGGAGACUGCCGGUGAUAAACCGGAGGAAGGUGGGGAUGACGUCAAGUCAUCAUGGCCCUUACGGCCAGGGCUACACACGUGCUACAAUGGCGCAUACAAAGAGAAGCGACCUCGCGAGAGCAAGCGGACCUCAUAAAGUGCGUCGUAGUCCGGAUCGGAGUCUGCAACUCGACUCCGUGAAGUCGGAAUCGCU